RNAcentral lists this transfer RNA (65 nucleotides) under Dipodomys ordii (Ord's kangaroo rat). It matches the Rfam family "tRNA". From Rfam's summary of the family: Transfer RNA (tRNA) molecules are approximately 80 nucleotides in length. Lineage: Eukaryota; Metazoa; Chordata; Mammalia; Rodentia; Heteromyidae. The record is from Rfam by way of RNAcentral.
GGUGGCUCAGUGGUAGAGCGCUUGCCUAGCAUGCAGGAAGCCCUGGGUUCAAUUCCUCAGCACCA